This 76-nucleotide transfer RNA is filed under the name Candidatus Delongbacteria bacterium. RNAcentral's name for it is "tRNA-Pro". It matches the Rfam family "tRNA". From Rfam's summary of the family: Transfer RNA (tRNA) molecules are approximately 80 nucleotides in length. Their secondary structure includes four short double-helical elements and three loops (D, anti-codon, and T loops). Lineage: Bacteria; Candidatus Delongiibacteriota. The record is from RNAcentral.
CGGGGCGUGGCGCAGCCUGGUUUAGCGCACAAGCAUGGGGGGCUUGGGGUCGCUGGUUCGAAUCCAGUCGCCCCGA